GACGAACGCUGGCGGCGUGCUUAACACAUGCAAGUCGAACGGAAAGGCCCUGCUUGCAGGGUACUCGAGUGGCGAACGGGUGAGUAACACGUGGGUGAUCUGCCCUGCACUUCGGGAUAAGCCUGGGAAACUGGGUCUAAUACCGGAUAGGAGCACAUUUUAGUGUGAUGGUUGGAAAGUUUUUUCGGUGUAGGAUGAGCUCGCGGCCUAGCAGCUUGUUGGUGGGGUAAUGGCCUACCAAGGCGGCGACGGGUAGCCGGCCUGAGAGGGUGGACGGCACCAUUGCGCCUGAGAUGCGCACCAGACUCCCACGGGAGGCAGCAGUGGGGAAUAUUGCACAAUGGGCGCAAGCCUGAUGCAGCGACGACGCGUGGGGGAUGACGGCCUUCGGGUUGUAAACUCCUUUCGCUAGGGACGAAGCUUUUUGUGACGGUACCUAGAUAAGAAGCACCGGCUAACUACGUG
RNAcentral lists this ribosomal RNA (465 nucleotides) under uncultured bacterium. Its description in RNAcentral is "partial 16S ribosomal RNA". It matches the Rfam family "Bacterial small subunit ribosomal RNA", at positions 28 to 507 of the family's 1533-position model. The record is from RNAcentral.